UCUUCGACAUCUUUUCUCUCGCACGCAAUCUCCAAUGAAGAAGCAGCUAAUAUCGCUCGUCGUCAAUUGUUACACCUAGAAGAAAACGACGACUUACCUGAAAAUUACGCGGAAACUGUUAAAACAGAAUUCACGUUUCCUAAUCCCAAUCUUAAACGCGCUUAUGUAGGGCUUCAAGCAUGGAAAAAAGCUAUGUAUUCUGAUCCAACAGGCGUUACCAAGAAUUGGGUAGGGCCAGAUGUUUGUUCUUACGAGGGAGUUUUCUGUGCACCUUCUCUUAAUGAUCCGAAAAUUGAAGUUGUAGCUGGGAUUGAUCUUAAUCAUGCAGACAUUGCAGGUUACAUUCC
Molecule: long non-coding RNA, 347 nt
Filed under: Lathyrus oleraceus (garden pea)
Lineage: Eukaryota; Viridiplantae; Streptophyta; Magnoliopsida; Fabales; Fabaceae
Description: Pisum sativum (pea) long non-coding RNA (PSAT_LNC040250)
Source: RNAcentral